AUUGAACGCUGGCGGCAUGCCUUACACAUGCAAGUCGAACGGUAACGGGCCUUCGGGUGCCGACGAGUGGCGAACGGGUGAGUAAUACAUCGGAACGUGCCCGAUCGUGGGGGAUAACGAGGCGAAAGCUUUGCUAAUACCGCAUACGAUCUACGGAUGAAAGCAGGGGACCGCAAGGCCUUGCGCGGACGGAGCGGCCGAUGGCAGCUUAGGUAGUUGGUGGGAUAAAAGCUUACCAAGCCGACGAUCUGUAGCUGGUCUGAGAGGAUGAUCAGCCACACUGGGACUGAGACACGGCCCAGACUCCUACGGGAGGCAGCAGUGGGGAAUUUUGGACAAUGGGCGCAAGCCUGAUCCAGCCAUGCCGCGUGCAGGAUGAAGGCCUUCGGGUUGUAAACUGCUUUUGUACGGAACGAAAAGCCUUCUUUUAAUACAGGAGGGUCAUGACGGUACCGUAAGAAUAGGCACCGGCUAACUACGUG
RNAcentral lists this ribosomal RNA (482 nucleotides) under uncultured bacterium. RNAcentral describes it as "partial 16S ribosomal RNA". It matches the Rfam family "Bacterial small subunit ribosomal RNA", at positions 30 to 507 of the family's 1533-position model. The record is from RNAcentral.